AAAUGAAUUGACGGGGACCCACACAAGCGGUGGAGCAUGGGGUUUAAUUCGAUGAUAAGCGGAGCACCUCACCCAGGUUUGACAUCCCGAGAAUCCCGCGGAAACGUGGGAGUGCCGCAAGGAACUCGGUGACAGGUGGUGCACGGUCGUCGUCAGCUCGUGCCUUGAGGUGUACUGUUAAGUCAGCAAACGAGCGCAACCCUCAUCCUAUGUUGUUUUUUCAUAGGAGACUGCCGCCUCCAAGGCGGAGGAAGGUGGGGAUGACGUCAGAUCUGCGUGUCCCUUAUGCCUGGGGCUACACCCAUGCUACAAUGGCCGGUACAGAGGGCAGCGAACCCGCGAGGGAGAGCCAAUCCCACAAAACCGGUCUCAGUUCGGAUUGGAGUCUGCAACUCGACUCCAUGAAGCUGGAAUCGCUAGUAACCGUGAAUCAGCUACGUCACGGUGAAUACGUUCCUGGGUCUUGUACACACCGCCCGU
RNAcentral lists this ribosomal RNA (480 nucleotides) under uncultured bacterium. Its description in RNAcentral is "bacterial SSU rRNA". It matches the Rfam family "Bacterial small subunit ribosomal RNA", at positions 903 to 1397 of the family's 1533-position model. The record is from RNAcentral.